Molecule: transfer RNA, 127 nt
Filed under: Nitrosomonas sp. AL212
Lineage: Bacteria; Pseudomonadati; Pseudomonadota; Betaproteobacteria; Nitrosomonadales; Nitrosomonadaceae
Description: tRNA-Und (NNN) (tRNA-Und-NNN-2-1)
Source: RNAcentral
UUGUAGCUGUGUGACACAGUUUUUAUGCUUGGCAAGCAUUGCAAGUUAUUGAUUAAUAGAUACCUAUAAUCCAAGGUCACGUUUCGUAAUCAGUAGGUCGGAGGUUCGACUCCUCUCAACAGCACCA